AGUGAAGUGCCUGAAACGAAAGGAUUAUUUUGAUAGAAUAAAUCAUGUAGACCACUACCUUCAUUA
This 66-nucleotide transfer RNA is filed under the name Meloe proscarabaeus. RNAcentral's name for it is "tRNA-Ile". The record is from RNAcentral. Lineage: Eukaryota; Metazoa; Arthropoda; Insecta; Coleoptera; Meloidae.